Dermacentor albipictus is the source of this 889-nucleotide long non-coding RNA. RefSeq lists it as uncharacterized. Lineage: Eukaryota; Metazoa; Arthropoda; Arachnida; Ixodida; Ixodidae. The record is from RefSeq and is a predicted model, not a curated record.
CGUGUUUGCGCGUGUCUAGUGCGUACGUGUUUUGUGAGUGUGUUGUCUGUGGGUCGCUGUGUGUGCGUGCACGUGUUAGCGUGUCUGUCUGCACACAUGUAUGUGUGCUUGUUUGUGUUCAUCAAUGUGCGCGUGCGCGCUUUUGUGUCUGCGCUUUGAGAGUGCGUAUACUUGUGUGUGCGUGUGGUUGCGUUUUGUGUGCGUGCGUAUGUAUUGCAUGAGGCCGGUAGAGUUUUACUCGCAAUGAAACUCUUCCGAUUUGGUGCAGCGAGUGUUCCCGCCUGAAAGCCGAGUGUGGUUUCAAGCCACCCUGGACAACUGCUGUAUGAGGCGCCGUUUCUCGGAAGGACCAGUGGGAAGGCGCCAAGUCAUGCAGAUGGUAGCAGCAAUUUCACAAUGCCCAGCCUUGGUUCCCCCCAUCAAGAGCAAGCCACUUGCGUUCGCCUUCAGACAGAUGGUUAAUGUCUUCUUGAAAGCGGUUGAGAAGACAACAUUGAUGCAAGAUUCCAGCAAUGCCAUGCGCUGCAUUUAUUGGUCAAGAUGCUCAGAGAAUGGAGUCCCUGCACCUCGUGGUUAACCGUGAACAUUUCUUUUUCUUUUGGAAAGCUAAAGGCCAUUUGCUGCAUCACUUGCAUUUUUGCAGCUCAGAUGUGUACUAUAUUUUUCUAAUUUUGAAUCAGUAUUGGCUGUCCAGUAUAAAAAAUGACGUACAGCGUGAAGGACAAGGACUGCGAGAGACACACUCCACUGACUUUCAACAAUAUUUUAUUGCGUUGCCACAUCGUGUGUGUAUACACAGAGGGGUCCUGCGCAGAAAAUGAAAGCCAGUCAGAAGGGGUGUUCUAACAGCAAGUCAUUGUAAAAAGAACAUAGUCACUUGAAAAAAAAA